CGUGUAGGCGGGAAAGUAAGUCAGAUGUGAAAGCCCAGAGCUUAACUUUGGGAUUGCAUCUGAAACUACUUUUCUUGAGUACUGGAGAGGGAAGCGGAAUUCCUAGUGUAGCGGUGAAAUGCGUAGAUAUUAGGAGGAACACCAGUGGCGAAGGCGGCUUCCUGGACAGAGACUGACGCUGAGACGCGAAAGCGUGGGGAGCAAACAGGAUUAGAUACCUGGUAGUCC
Molecule: ribosomal RNA, 228 nt
Filed under: uncultured bacterium
Lineage: Bacteria
Description: partial 16S ribosomal RNA
Rfam family: Bacterial small subunit ribosomal RNA
Source: RNAcentral